Molecule: ribosomal RNA, 253 nt
Filed under: uncultured bacterium
Lineage: Bacteria
Description: partial 16S ribosomal RNA
Rfam family: Bacterial small subunit ribosomal RNA
Source: RNAcentral
UACGGAGGGGGCUAGCGUUGCUCGGAAUCACUGGGCGUAAAGCGCACGUAGGCGGAUUGUUAAGUCAGGGGUGAAAUCCUGGAGCUCAACUCCAGAACUGCCUUUGAUACUGGCGAUCUUGAGUCCGGGAGAGGUGAGUGGAACUCCGAGUGUAGAGGUGAAAUUCGUAGAUAUUCGGAAGAACACCAGUGGCGAAGGCGGCUCACUGGCCCGGUACUGACGCUGAUGUGCGAAAGCGUGGGGAGCAAACAGG